GAUGAACGCUGGCGGCGUGCCUAAUACAUGCAAGUCGAGCGAACAGACGAGGAGCUUGCUCCUCUGACGUUAGCGGCGGACGGGUGAGUAACACGUGGAUAACCUACCUAUAAGACUGGGAUAACUUCGGGAAACCGGAGCUAAUACCGGAUAAUAUAUUGAACCGCAUGGUUCAAUAGUGAAAGACGGUCUUGCUGUCACUUAUAGAUGGAUCCGCGCCGCAUUAGCUAGUUGGUAAGGUAACGGCUUACCAAGGCAACGAUGCGUAGCCGACCUGAGAGGGUGAUCGGCCACACUGGAACUGAGACACGGUCCAGACUCCUACGGGAGGCAGCAGUAGGGAAUCUUCCGCAAUGGGCGAAAGCCUGACGGAGCAACGCCGCGUGAGUGAUGAAGGUCUUCGGAUCGUAAAACUCUGUUAUUAGGGAAGAACAAAUGUGUAAGUAACUAUGCACGUCUUGACGGUACCUAAUCAGAAAGCCACGGCGAACUACGU
RNAcentral lists this ribosomal RNA (496 nucleotides) under uncultured bacterium. Its description in RNAcentral is "partial 16S ribosomal RNA". It matches the Rfam family "Bacterial small subunit ribosomal RNA", at positions 28 to 506 of the family's 1533-position model. The record is from RNAcentral.